GGAACUUAAUCACUUUUUGUCGUUCAUUCAUCUUUUAUGAACGAAACAAUGCUUGUCGGUUGUCGUAAUGAUUGUAAAGACUGUAUUUACUUUUUAUUUGCACCUGCGGUGCUAAUGCCUUACAUGGUCUAACUUCACUCUAACGACCUAGUUAGACCUAUACCUAGUGCUAUGCACAGAUAGGCACUGGCGAUUUACCGCCUCGUAUACCUACUCUUCGGAGAUAAAUAUGAGAUGAUGAUACACAUAGAAUAAUAUGAAUAAAAUGAAUACUCGGACGACUAUAACGUUACAUUAGCUUUAUUGGUUAUUAAGCAUUAUAUGUACAUAGUCUGAUUAUAUUACGUAAAUAGAAUUACGAUUUGAUUUAAAGGAAGCGAGUACAUGUAGUCGCAAAUGCGUGUUAAAAACACCACCCAGGGACAAGGGCAUUCAUGCCGGAUAGGGCAGGUCCAGUAUGAAUGACUCUAAGAAGAGAAUUUAGAGAUGCUGCAGUUCAUCUCUUGAGUAACCACGAUCCAAUCCGAUAGUCCAUUACGUAAAAGAUAUUUCAUAUCCCAGUAAUUAUAAGGUGGAAAGUACGUGCUCCAUACGUCGAACGUACUGAUAGGGCUCCGCACCUCGACCUAUCUAUCGAAUGGAAACUAAGCUCUCGCUUAGUGAGUCCGUGGUUGACUGAAGUUGUGAUCGGAUAACGUGAAACACUUCACUAACGCGAACUAAACCGCUAGAUAGCGUGGUUACGUAAGAGAAUUGAGCGAAAGGUAGAAGGAGAACAAUUUUCCCUCACCUAAUCGACGGAAAAUGGCGCAAUUCCUCCCUUUACAUUGCCCCGAGUGAUUACUUAUAGGAAUAUGUAACCACUCUAACAACUAAAAAGGGAGAAUGUCCUAUGUGCCCUAUCCUUUGCCCCGGGUGUUUACAUGUUGCUAUUGAAAUAAAUAAAAUAAACAAAAUAAUAAAAUAAACAUCUUCUUAUCAACUGUGAUACAGUAAAAAGCAGUAAUAAUAAAAAAAAAAUGUAGAAGAAGAAGAUAAAAAAAAAUGUAUCCAACUUCUGGAAAAAUUAAAGAUUAUAAACGUAAAAUAAAGUGAAAUAAUGUCUAAACAGUAUAUCUGUAUAAAAUAAAGAAAAGUCACAUUGCAUCGUAUGAAUCAAAGUACCGAAGGCAAAUCAAAAGUGCUUAAUGGACAUACAUUAGUGGUGAAAACUAUUGACUAUUACAGUAUGUAUGAAUUUCGUACAUUAUUACGUUAUUCUAUUCUAUGACUAACAUGAAUUUAUUUAUUGUUUCAGGUUCCAUGUGAUGAGCUGUAGUUCGAUUUCAUGUUGCAAUGUCUGUUUCAUUCCGGGAAGUAUGAAUUACGUAAGGUUGAUAAGGUUCUAGAUUUUCGAUACUUUGUAACGUGAUUUCGUAUUUACAGAUGUUUACUCAGCAAGAAGAGGUAGUAAACCCAAAACAGCCUCCAGAAUGAUACGGUGAUCAAGAAAAGGACACUUAUCGACUAUCUUUUCCGGUAACGUUCGAUCUAGUAUGCUUUCAAGCUGUUUUAUAUAGUUUGUGUUAUGUGUAUCUUUCUUCGAAAUGCUGAUAGCUUCUAGCCAAUUUCUAAAUUUCUUCGUUUUAUCACUAUGUACCGUGUGUUUUAUAGGUGGUAUGACAUAGAUUUUCUUUACGCCUGAAGUACUCAACGUCUUGAUCAGCGCAUUAAAAUCGUCUCUCAAUUUUUCUUCGUUGGCGUUUUCAUGAAGAUCUUUAUGACCUAUCGAUAUCAGCACCUUUUUAGUAUAAGCUUGAUCACCGGCUAUCGCAAAAUGGACCAUUUGAUGUACCAGGCCAUCGCCCAGCAUCCAGUACUGCUGCAAAAAGAAAAUAGUCUCCGUUCCUUUAUUUCGUAACGUAAGUGUAGCUCCGGUUGUGUAUAGGUUAUAUCGAAACUUUCUACACGUCGAACCGAAUUCAUCAGGUAUGGAUGUUUUUAGUGUCAUUCUUCUGAUUUCUUCUUGAAAAAUCUUUCUGGUUACCGGUAAAUGAACUACUUGUUCUUUUUUGUCAUAGGUCGAGAUUGUUAGUCGAUUUCGGUAAUUUUUUACGUCACGAAUCGCUCCAAAAUGUCCUGGCUUGAGAGGGCUACGAGUUUGGUUGUUAUCUAUAAUGGACUCGAACUUAUUCUGUUCAUAUUUCGUUCUAUAUCGAUUGAUAGCAUUUCGUCGGUGAGUAUUACGUAAAGGCGUUCUUGGUACAUAUCGUGAACCUGAUGGCUUAAGUAUUACUUUUAGAUUUUUUGUAUUAAUCGGUUUUCUUUCAGGAGACUUGCGGCGUAUUUGAAUCAUAGUUUUGCUGGUUUUGGUUGGCGAUGAUAGUUUUUUCGGUGAUGAUUUCUUCGGUGAAGAUUUAGCAGAUGUUCAUGUUUCCAAUUCGUAUCCUCGUCCGAUGUGUCUUCGUAUUUCGGUUCGAAUUGCGAUUCAUCGAUUUCUUUUUCGUUAGAUGUUGAUUCUGCCGGGUUCUGUUCUUCAUCGCUUAAAGGUUGUAUAAAUUCAUCGAUCGGAUUGUCAUACUUGUGUUCCGGUGUUACGUUAUCGAUUGGUUCACAUUUUUUCAGCUCUUGGUUCUCUUUGCGUAACUUCCAUAGUUGUUCUACUAAAGUCGCCGGUGACGUUGAAUCAUCUUUUACGGUCGUAAUUUGGAUGUUAUUUGCUUGUAUCUCGACGUCAGAUGCAAGAAUCAGUGAUGUAUUGCAGUUAGAGAAUACGCAUUUUUCAGUCCCGGUUGGUUCAGAAUACGGCUUUUCUUCCAUGAAUUACGUUACGAAGAUGAAAUCUGGAGCCCAGGAUUGAACGGAACUGGAUACGCUUGGAAAUAAUCGAAUUCGGAUUACGUAAGAUGAAAGUUUUUCUUUGGCCAAUCACGAUGAUUUGCUACACGUGUCUGAGAGUCUGUUGGACGUUUUAUAUUGUAAUCCAAUGUACUUUAUACAUAUUUUAUUGAUGUAUUGUUUUGUACUUACGUGUAACUGUUGUCUUGGUGGAUUAUUUUCGAUGUGUUAUUUGUAAUAACUUCUUGGUAGCAUUAAACUUUUGAACUUUACUAAACUGUUGUACCUUUACGAAAUAAAAUACCAUUUGUUGUCUCAAUGUCUCACUGUAACUUCUUUAACUGUGGUUUUAUUUUUCACGUUAUUUCAUGUUUGGUUUUUUUAUUUUGUUCGAACACUUUGUACGAUUUUGCUGUGUGUUGUUAGAGUUGUGCUAACGAAUGAGAUUGCUCUUUAAAUAAAUGAAAUUUGCUCUCA
Planococcus citri (citrus mealybug) is the source of this 3294-nucleotide long non-coding RNA. RefSeq lists it as uncharacterized. The record is from RefSeq and is a predicted model, not a curated record. The transcript is spliced from 5 exons. NCBI's taxonomy places the organism in Eukaryota, Metazoa, Arthropoda, Insecta, Hemiptera, Pseudococcidae.